RNAcentral lists this ribosomal RNA (253 nucleotides) under uncultured bacterium. RNAcentral's name for it is "partial 16S ribosomal RNA". It matches the Rfam family "Bacterial small subunit ribosomal RNA", at positions 524 to 776 of the family's 1533-position model. The record is from RNAcentral.
GACGAACCGAGCGAACGUUGUUCGGAAUCACUGGGCUUAAAGGGCGCGUAGGUGGGCUGUCAAGUCUGGGGUGAAAUCCCGCGGCUCAACCGUGGAACUGCCUCAGAUACUGACGGCCUCGAGGGAGGUAGGGGCGAGCGGAACUGUGAGUGGAGCGGUGAAAUGCGUUGAUAUUCACAGGAACUCCGGUGGCGAAGGCGGCUCGCUGGACCUUUUCUGACGCUGAGGCGCGAAAGCUAGGGGAGCAAACGGG